UUGAAGAGUUUGAUCAUGGCUCAGAUUGAACGCUGGCGGCAGGCCUAACACAUGCAAGUCGAACGGUAACAGGAAGCAGCUUGCUGCUUUGCUGACGAGUGGCGGACGGGUGAGUAAUGUCUGGGAAACUGCCCGAUGGAGGGGGAUAACUACUGGAAACGGUAGCUAAUACCGCAUAACGUCGCAAGACCAAAGAGGGGGACCUUCGGGCCUCUUGCCAUCGGAUGUGCCCAGAUGGGAUUAGCUAGUAGGUGGGGUAACGGCUCACCUAGGCGACGAUCCCUAGCUGGUCUGAGAGGAUGACCAGCCACACUGGAACUGAGACACGGUCCAGACUCCUACGGGAGGCAGCAGUGGGGAAUAUUGCACAAUGGGCGCAAGCCUGAUGCAGCCAUGCCGCGUGUAUGAAGAAGGCCUUCGGGUUGUAAAGUACUUUCAGCGGGGAGGAAGGGAGUAAAGUUAAUACCUUUGCUCAUUGACGUUACCCGCAGAAGAAGCACCGGCUAACUCCGUGCCAGCAGCCGCGGUAAUACGGAGGGUGCAAGCGUUAAUCGGAAUUACUGGGCGUAAAGCGCACGCAGGCGGUUUGUUAAGUCAGAUGUGAAAUCCCCGGGCUCAACCUGGGAACUGCAUCUGAUACUGGCAAGCUUGAGUCUCGUAGAGGGGGGUAGAAUUCCAGGUGUAGCGGUGAAAUGCGUAGAGAUCUGGAGGAAUACCGGUGGCGAAGGCGGCCCCCUGGACGAAGACUGACGCUCAGGUGCGAAAGCGUGGGGAGCAAACAGGAUUAGAUACCCUGGUAGUCCACGCCGUAAACGAUGUCGACUUGGAGGUUGUGCCCUUGAGGCGUGGCUUCCGGAGCUAACGCGUUAAGUCGACCGCCUGGGGAGUACGGCCGCAAGGUUAAAACUCAAAUGAAUUGACGGGGGCCCGCACAAGCGGUGGAGCAUGUGGUUUAAUUCGAUGCAACGCGAAGAACCUUACCUGGUCUUGACAUCCACGGAAGUUUUCAGAGAUGAGAAUGUGCCUUCGGGAACCGUGAGACAGGUGCUGCAUGGCUGUCGUCAGCUCGUGUUGUGAAAUGUUGGGUUAAGUCCCGCAACGAGCGCAACCCUUAUCCUUUGUUGCCAGCGGUCCGGCCGGGAACUCAAAGGAGACUGCCAGUGAUAAACUGGAGGAAGGUGGGGAUGACGUCAAGUCAUCAUGGCCCUUACGACCAGGGCUACACACGUGCUACAAUGGCGCAUACAAAGAGAAGCGACCUCGCGAGAGCAAGCGGACCUCAUAAAGUGCGUCGUAGUCCGGAUUGGAGUCUGCAACUCGACUCCAUGAAGUCGGAAUCGCUAGUAAUCGUGGAUCAGAAUGCCACGGUGAAUACGUUCCCGGGCCUUGUACACACCGCCCGUCACACCAUGGGAGUGGGUUGCAAAAGAAGUAGGUAGCUUAACCUUCGGGAGGGCGCUUACCACUUUGUGAUUCAUGACUGGGGUGAAGUCGUAACAAGGUAACCGUAGGGGAACCUGCGGUUGGAUCACCUCCUU
This 1538-nucleotide ribosomal RNA is filed under the name Escherichia coli. RNAcentral's name for it is "bacterial SSU rRNA". It matches the Rfam family "Bacterial small subunit ribosomal RNA". Lineage: Bacteria; Pseudomonadati; Pseudomonadota; Gammaproteobacteria; Enterobacterales; Enterobacteriaceae. The record is from RNAcentral.